RNAcentral lists this ribosomal RNA (677 nucleotides) under uncultured bacterium. Its description in RNAcentral is "bacterial SSU rRNA". It matches the Rfam family "Bacterial small subunit ribosomal RNA", at positions 51 to 719 of the family's 1533-position model. The record is from RNAcentral.
ACACAUGCAGUCGAGCGGCAGCGGAAGUAGCUUGCUACUUUGCCGGCGAGCGGCGGACGGGUGAGUAAUGUCUGGGAAACUGCCUGAUGGAGGGGGAUAACUACUGGAAACGGUAGCUAAUACCGCAUAAUGUCGCAAGACCAAAGAGGGGGACCUUCGGGCCUCUUGCCAUCAGAUGUGCCCAGAUGGGAUUAGCUAGUAGGUGGGGUAACGGCUCACCUAGGCGACGAUCCCUAGCUGGUCUGAGAGGAUGACCAGCCACACUGGAACUGAGACACGGUCCAGACUCCUACGGGAGGCAGCAGUGGGGAAUAUUGCACAAUGGGCGCAAGCCUGAUGCAGCCAUGCCGCGUGUAUGAAGAAGGCCUUCGGGUUGUAAAGUACUUUCAGCGGGGAGGAAGGCGAUAAGGUUAAUAACCUUGUCGAUUGACGUUACCCGCAGAAGAAGCACCGGCUAACUCCGUGCCAGCAGCCGCGGUAAUACGGAGGGUGCAAGCGUUAAUCGGAAUUACUGGGCGUAAAGCGCACGCAGGCGGUCUGUCAAGUCGGAUGUGAAAUCCCCGGGCCCAACCUGGGAACUGCAUUCGAAACUGGCAGGCUAGAGUCUUGUAGAGGGGGGUAGAGUUCCAGGUGUAGCGGUGAAAUGCGUAGAGAUCUGGAGGAAUACCGGUGGCGAA